CUGUUGUAUUUGAGUGUUUCUCCAGUACUGGUUACAACUAGGUGUUGGUUCACUAAAAAGUCCGUAUUUCAUAAGAUUGUUAUUCAAAUGUGACAAUUUGCAUUACAUUGCAUUAAGAAAUGGUUAAUCUAUAAAUUUUGAUAUUUUGAGCUCAUAAGGUGCUAGGGAAAUAUUGAAAUUGUAAAAAAUGUGUGAAAUUACUACCCAAAAUGGCAGCUUUUGAUGUAACACGGAACACCAUGGUAUGAUUGAAUUAAUAUCGUACUAAAACCAAGGGGCAUAAAACUUCCAUCUUUGUUGGAAUAUGUUAACAAGAUCCUCAUAUUUCAAUGUCAUUAUUUAGUUUUUCUCAAGGUUAUCAAAAUAUUGAUUAAACACGGCCACAAAAAGGCGUUUGAGGCGCAUCGCGAUGUGUCCCACUUUAUACGGAAUUACAAUCCUCUAUGAAUUGUAAACAAGAAAUAAAUAAUACGCUCAACAUUGCAUUUCUGUUACAACAAGCAUUAAAGAUUUCUUUUAAAGUAUUUUUUUUGUUAAAAGCUUUCUAAACAUGCAUAACGAGCUUAAAAUAGGUCGAGGUGUCCCAGAUGAAGCGCCUGUGCUGCGUGUGUUAAGAAUGGGAUUAUUUUUCCCACAACACUACUUUUUAUGAAUGAGAGUUCUUUUGAGCAUCACAGGUAUUGUGUAGAACAAAAAAAGUGCCGCUUCCGCUGGAAAUACUAGCGUAGUAAUUAACAGGAGUACGUAAACAAUAGCGUGUCCCACAAUUAACCAUUGAUGCGCCUCAAGCGUCGACACGAUCAAUCGCCGGCAAUCUUGCACAAAAACCUCAUUUAAUCUGUUUUUUGUGAUCUUUUGUGAAUCAACAACCCAUCAGGUACGUAGAUAUUUCAUUAUUCUACUGAAAUUUAAGCUUAUUACAAAUAAGUUUGAUUGCAAUAUCCAAAUCGAAGUGCUUUUUUUAUUACGAGGUUACUAAAUUUAACCAUUCAAUCAUGACGUCACGUGAAGCGUCUUGAACACAAUUUAGUCUUAAAUCGUAAAGUUAAUCAAUUUUAAAGCCUGUUACUAAACAAAAAGUUUAUAUUUCUAAAACAAUUAUGUUGAUGUAAUAGUAGACGUGUGUAGCGAUUUAAAAUAAUUAAUUUGUUUUUAUUUUGAGAAGUAAAUUGGAUUAGGCGUUGAGGCGCUCCUUGGGACCCCGUGCUGGUGUUUUCCAUGCAUAAAUUAUGGCGUCACAUGUAGCGUCUAAUGCGAGUUCAGGAUUUGUUACGUUUUCUGUAUUCAUGGAAGUUUUAAUUAAGAUUAAAUGAUUUUAAUAUAUGUAAUAAACUAUUUUCAUAAUUAAUCAUUUUAAAUGAACAUUUUUUGACAUCUUUUAUUUUAUAUUUUUUGUAAUUUUACUUUACAUCGUUUGGGGCGUUUCAGUGGACACUACUCCGUUUGUUUACAAAUGGUGUCCUAGUUUGCGUCUGUUAAGUCCAAAUAGAUUUUAGUGAUAGUUUGUUAAAGAUUUUACAGUGUCAGAUAAUAUUAGCUACAUCUAAAAGAAAUAAAGCGGUACUGUUUAAGAAAUAUUAAAUAAUUAAAAUUUACUUAUUACUGUAAAUAAGAUUUAGAACUAUUAGAUCUUUCGUUUGAGGCGCAUCUCGGACACUUGUCUUUAAAACUUUAAAGAGCUUAACUCUAGAUCUAGAAAUCUAGACUGAUUAGACCUCUAGACCUAAAUCUAGAUUUACUCUAGAUCUAGAUCUAAUUAUGUAAUUCAUUAUCUAGAUUUACUCUAGAUCUAGACCUAGAUCUAGAUCUAAUUAUGUAAUUCAUUAUAUUAUAGCUAGAUUUACUCUUGAGUCUUGAUCUAGAGUAGAGUAGAAUAGUCUAGUCAGUCUAGAUCUAAUUCAAUAUCUAGAUUUAGAUCUAAACUAGAUUAUUAGAUUAGAAAUCAUUAGAUCUUUUAUGAAUCUAGACUAGUGACUCUAGACUAGAUCAUUUAUGACUAGAUUAGAAUCUAAUUUUAGAUUUAAUAAUAUAUUUUUCUUUAAAUUGACCAGUAUCUAGAAAAAUAUCUAGAGACUAGAUCUAUAAUCUAUAUUAUAGACCUAUUCUAUAUUAAAAUGUAGAUAGUAUCUAAAACAAAGUUUGGUUUAACCUGCACUUAAUUUCCAUUGUAUUGUUUAUACAGUAUAUUCAAUUAUAUUGUAUUCAGUUCUUUCAGUCUACCACUGAAUGAUUAUAACUUAAGUUAAUAUAAUUAACAGUACUAGUCCUAUACUAUUGAUUGAGUCUAUCCCUAUCAAGCAAUUAUGGGCAUUACUAGACUAGAUUUAAAUAAUGCACCAAUAUAUAAUAUAUUAUAUGUUUAUGAAAUUUAUUAGUAGGCCUAUAUUAUAUAUAAUAGAUCUAUUUAUUUAGAUACUUAUACAUUUUUUAUAAAUUACAGAUUUCAGUAAUGGAGUAUCUGUUAGAGUUUCAAGGCGUCUACAAGCCAAGAAAGACUCUAAAUUUACAAGCAUCAAAGCCUGAGUCUCUAACACGUGUUGCUGUUUUAGAGCAGAGAGAAAAGGAAAGGUUGAGAAAAGCUGCAUACAGGGCCUAGUUAAGCCCACAUGAAAAAGCUUGGAUAAACAGAAAACGCAAAGAAAGAAAACAGCAAGCUAAUAGUCCACUUAAUGUCAUCUCAGCAGAGGUUGGUGAAUCACUAGGUACUGGAUUCCAGACUCCAGUGGCAAAAAGAAUAAAGAAGGAUCUUUUAAUGACCUAGUGAGAGGUAUUACACCUAACACUAUUGCUUACAGAAAUAGAAGCUGUUUCUGCUAUCCAUACAGAAAUUCAUAUGGCAGUCAGUGCCUGCAUGAUGAAACAUGUGGCUCUUGGAAGGUGUUCAAACUUCAGAAACAAAAUGUAGUGCAAUCUCAGUCAAAUCUUGAAGACUCUUUGGAUGUCAGUCCCAUAUGCUCAAAUUCAAAGGCCCAAACAAUUUUCUUCACUCAUCAAAAGUACAUUGUAAAUAGCUGUGUGAUUGUCAAGUAUGGGGAAAUAUUCUAUCCAGGAGUUGUGAUAGAAGUCCUGGAUGAUCAGCGCAGAAAUAAUUUUUUAAAAAGGCACAGAAAUUAAAGAAAUAUAUAAAUAUAUAUAUCCAGAAGUGCAGGACAUACAGUUAGUGUAUGCAGACAUGAUUGUUACUGAAGUGAUGUUGAUACCAAUGGCAAUAGUUUGAGAGUGGAAUGUUUUGAUUUCUGAAUUUGUCAAAUAAAAUUUGUGUACAGUU
Molecule: long non-coding RNA, 3268 nt
Organism: Biomphalaria glabrata
Lineage: Eukaryota; Metazoa; Mollusca; Gastropoda; Planorbidae
Exons: 4
Source: RefSeq, a predicted model, not a curated record